Molecule: ribosomal RNA, 497 nt
Filed under: uncultured bacterium
Lineage: Bacteria
Description: partial 16S ribosomal RNA
Rfam family: Bacterial small subunit ribosomal RNA
Source: RNAcentral
GAUGAACGCUGGCGGCGUGCCUAAUACAUGCAAGUCGAGCGAACGGACGAGAAGCUUGCUUCUCUGAUGUUAGCGGCGGACGGGUGAGUAACACGUGGAUAACCUACCUAUAAGACUGGGAUAACUUCGGGAAACCGGAGCUAAUACCGGAUAAUAUUUUGAACCGCAUGGUUCAAAAGUGAAAGACGGUCUUGCUGUCACUUAUAGAUGGAUCCGCGCUGCAUUAGCUAGUUGGUAAGGUAACGGCUUACCAAGGCAACGAUGCAUAGCCGACCUGAGAGGGUGAUCGGCCACACUGUAACUGAGACACGGUCCAGACUCCUACGGGAGGCAGCAGUAGGGAAUCUUCCGCAAUGGGCGAAAGCCUGACGGAGCAACGCCGCGUGAGUGAUGAAGGUCUUCGGAUCGUAAAACUCUGUUAUUAGGGAAGAACAUAUGUGUAAGUAACUGUGCACAUCUUGACGGUACCUAAUCAGAAGGCCACGGCUAACUACGUG